This 376-nucleotide unclassified non-coding RNA is filed under the name Atta cephalotes. RNAcentral describes it as "misc RNA LOC105621217". Lineage: Eukaryota; Metazoa; Arthropoda; Insecta; Hymenoptera; Formicidae. The record is from RNAcentral.
CACGACGACGAGUUAUUAACACCAGGUGACACUGCUUUUACGUUAGAAUGUGACUUCUCGAGACCGCGUGAUCUUACGGUAUCGGCGGAUCUUAAUGGUAGUAAGAAGAGAUCGACUAAAUCGAGCAUAGCUCUCAUCGAUCCGGGAAGUGAUAGAAGAAAGAGGUCGACAUACGUGGAAAGCUAUGGGGAUGAGGUUAUUUUCGUGCCGAAGCAAGCAUAUCAAUAAGAAGAAAGUCAGAGGUGCGGUUUUAUUAUAAAUCUUACACCGAUCGACGAACAUUCUCGAUUGAUGAAAACUCACGACGCAUUCUACGUGAAUUUGUUGUUGCUUGUUAUUUAAUUUACGUUAUUUAAAUAAAUUAUGGUAAUUCGUU